Nothobranchius furzeri (turquoise killifish) is the source of this 3471-nucleotide non-coding RNA. NCBI's taxonomy places the organism in Eukaryota, Metazoa, Chordata, Actinopteri, Cyprinodontiformes, Nothobranchiidae. The record is from RefSeq and is a predicted model, not a curated record.
AAAGUGGUAACGUGGCUAAAAUGCCCCGCUGUUAAUAAUCUAGAUCCUGACAGCCAUUUCCUGCAACAGCCGGGCGUCUUUUUCUGGAUCCCGGAACUGCAGUAGCUCUGCUCUUCACUCCUCAUUCCAUCCCAGAAUGUCUCUUAUUAUUUGUGGGUCAGGACUGAAUGCCAAGCUGCAGGAUUUUUGCUUCUAGUUUCUCAGAAGAUAUGGUGACGACACCAACGUUUCUUGUGUUUAGGAUCAGGUUAAUUCAAAAUAAUGUAAAGAUUUGGAUACGCAGACUCGGAUUAAUGUGGGGCUUUUUUGUUUCUGAUUAACUUGAAAAUUAAUAUUCUGAAAAUAAAAAGAAGAUCUUUUAGAGCUAGCAUGCAGCAAUAGAGAGUUUGUCGAGCGGGAUAAACGUUGGGUUUUACUGCUCGUGCAUUCACAGACCCAAAAGGUUUUUAUGAUUUUUCUGCUGAUUCAAAUGAAAGUUUGUGGAUUCUGACCAGAACAUUUCUUGGCACAUCCUUCAUGUUUGGUUGUUCUUAUUCUUAACUUUGCCUUUAAUCUGAUUAUUAAAUCAGGAAUCUGUGUAUUUAAUUUCAUCUAAAUUAUCUGUGCAUUUUAUUUAUGCUGUCAUGUUGAUUUUAAUGCUUAUGCUGUAAAGCACAUUGAACUUCCUCCGUGUAUGAACUGUGCUAUGCAAAUAACGCUGCCAUGCCUCAUUGUUCUGUAAAUACAUUACUCAGGAGACAAAUUAUACAACAUGGAUACUAAAAAAUAAAUAAAUGCCACAGUGCUAUUUAUUGACAACUGCCACAUGCAGAAGAUGGGCCACGAGGUGUUCACUCUGCAUGGAUCAACAGGGACAAGAACCCUCUGACCUGGCCUUAAGGGACCUUCUGCCUACAUCUCUAUACAAGCUGUGUCUCAGGAUAAAUGAUUCAUUUUAAAGCUUUGGAACAAACAGGUCAGCUGUUGUUUGCUUGUGCUCUCUUAAACUUUACUAAUUCACAACAAAACAUGUUUUUUAACCAUUUGCAUCAUGUAUUAAACUUUAAGGUAAAUCUAUAUUUUUACUCCCACUUUAAUGCAACUUAUUAGAAAUGCCAAAGCUACCUUGCUCUGUUCACUCGAACAUUUCAUAUUUCUACUCAAUAUUUACACUUUUUCUGACCCACUUCCGCAUUAUACAAACUUUAUCUUUAUACACUAAAUAAAUAAAUAAAGACGCGAAUGUUUGGCACUUCCAAGUAAGCAAAUGGGGACUUUAAAAGGGGAACGGAUGUAAUAUUUCAUCUAUUUGAGUUUUCCAGAACUAAAGACUAAAAAGUUCAGAUAUGUAAUUCAACGUUAAACUCUAUGCAUGUGAAAAAGCUGCAAUAAGCUUUAAUAUCUUGAUGCUCGCCUUUGGAAACUCAUUCUAGACUUGGAUUUAUUCGGGUGCCAGUUUUCUUUGCAUGGCUGUCUUAUUUCAUUUAGUUCAAGACACGCUUUACAUCAUGAUGAAUUAUUUCAACAGGAAUGCAAAAGGGGAUGAAAAUGACUCUAAAAAUAGGCCGGCUGGUGAGAGUCUAUUUAAGGUUAUAUCUCCAUGUCCAUCAUCUCCCAUGGGUGGAGUCCAUCGACAUACAUAUAGGUGGAGCCUUGGACCGUACUCCUAAAUCUACACGCAAACAUAAAUGUCGGGCAAAAAAAACUACAUUAAUCUUGAGAAAAAUAUCUUUUUGUAUCGUUACGACACUUUAGAACAAUAGUGAAAGACAAAAACACGCAGAAGGUUUGUAGCUGGUUAAAGCUCAUUAAAACGUGUAAAUGUGAACUGUUUUAUUGUGGUAACAGGGACUGAGGAUGAAAACUGUUUAUGACUCUGUGCUUGUUCAAGAAGAUAUCAUUAAUUUUUGGCUUACUCAUUUUAUGGGGGAAAAUUUUCAUGCUAGCUUGUCUCAAGAGUAAAUAAGGACAAGUCUGUGCGAUGAUCUCUGACAUUUGAGGAUGGGUCAUUAAAGUGAAAGCAAACUGCGUAGCUGUCUGCUGACAUGAAGUACUCACCCGUCUACGACAGAACGGCAGCAACUGGCAUCUUCCUCUGCGCAGCCGACGAUGAGAAGCGGGGUAUGGGGCAAUGCCGCAGCAUUGCAAAACAGGCUGUCUAGAGGAUCAUAUCCCAGAAGGAGGUCCAAAUGCUGACCAAGGACAGUAGCGAGUAAGCUGCUCUUCUUAAAUGACCGUGGAACCUUUCCUGGAUCUCUACACCGUAGUGCAGGUGUAUCAAACCUGCCCUCACUAAGCUCUCACCUACUCAGCACCCACUCAGCCACUUGACUGACAUUCUUUAAAGCAACUCCGGGCUGUGAGGUCACCAUUUAAACCAAGUUAGGUGGAGCAGCUGAUGUCAGGGUCUGAAAAGAGGAUGGACCAACUCAGCCGCUCCCCCUCGGCCUGCCCUGUGGAAUCCACUCUCAUGACCCCUCACUGGUGGAAUGUGAACCAGGACUCGUCUGACGCAGCACACGUGUGGCUGGGGCGUUUCCUCAUCGUGGUCUUUCUGUGACCCCUCUAAUCUCUACAGAUCAGAGACCUGCAUCUUUGUGCUCAGGCAAGUUUACCCCACACAAACUCACAAGAAACCAAAUCAGUGCUUCCUGAUUAACAAGCGAGAUUUUGUUCUACUUUCUCGACUGAUCCUUUGGUGUCAAGGGAUGUCAAUAACGCUGUCCAUGUCAGCAGAGAGACUUGGGUUAGUUCAGGAGAAGAUCACAGUUGUCCACGUUUAGUAUGUGUGACACAAGGUCUUAAGUAAUGGAUUCUCUUGAACCAAGUGAAGACAAAAGUGAUUUUAGGUCUGUUGAAUUGUAUCAAAAUAGGCUCGAAAUGAUGUAGAAGCACCAUUUCCUUUAAAUAACAACACAAACGUGUAUCUGUAAAGAUGUGAUCAUAUGAAGGUGCUCAGUUGUACACAGUGGUGUAACUGCAGGGUGUUGAUACUAUUUAUGCUCAAUUCCUCUUUGUCCAAAAGUUGAGACUGCAGACUCGGAGAAGACUGAUCUUUCCUCUGAGCACCAUUGUUUGAGGAGGAUUAGAGUGCACCGAGGGCCCUAACACACCAGCCAUGUUAACCUCUGCGUGUCAGACCAACACCCACAUAUUUUAUUGGAUGUUCAGCACAGUUGGAGCAAGCUGGUGCCGUAUUGAUGACCGCUUAGCCAACUGAGCAUGUAUGACUACAGCGGAGGCGGUUGGUGCCAUCGAGAGAAUUCACUCACUUAGAAAAGUCUUGUCUGUCAUGCCUUUUGACGAGCUAAACCAUCUCCUGCUACUCAUUCUAAGGAAAAAUGUUUUCUGUUUGUGUUUUAUAGCGUUCUGCUCUGAGACACGAUGGACAAAUAAAGAAUCCUGUCUUUUACAUGAGCAGCCGUACAGACUAAGCUCAACAUGAGGGAAUGAGCUCCGACAAUAAAUUACCACACAGUCUGAAACUAAAAA